This 747-nucleotide ribosomal RNA is filed under the name bacterium. Its description in RNAcentral is "bacterial SSU rRNA". It matches the Rfam family "Bacterial small subunit ribosomal RNA", at positions 99 to 858 of the family's 1533-position model. The record is from RNAcentral.
CGAACGGGUGAGUAACACGUGGGUGAUCUGCCCUGCACUUUGGGAUAAGCCUGGGAAACUGGGUCUAAUACCGAAUAUGAUCAUCGGCUUCAUGGUCGGUGGUGGAAAGCUUUUGCGGUGUGGGAUGGGCCCGCGGCCUAUCAGCUUGUUGGUGGGGUAAUGGCCUACCAAGGCGACGACGGGUAGCCGGCCUGAGAGGGUGACCGGCCACACUGGGACUGAGAUACGGCCCAGACUCCUACGGGAGGCAGCAGUGGGGAAUAUUGCACAAUGGGCGCAAGCCUGAUGCAGCGACGCCGCGUGAGGGAUGACGGCCUUCGGGUUGUAAACCUCUUUCAGCACAGACGAAGCGCAAGUGACGGUAUGUGCAGAAGAAGGACCGGCCAACUACGUGCCAGCAGCCGCGGUAAUACGUAGGGUCCGAGCGUUGUCCGGAAUUACUGGGCGUAAAGAGCUCGUAGGUGGUUUGUCGCGUUGUUCGUGAAAACUCACAGCUUAACUGUGGGCGUGCGGGCGAUACGGGCAGACUAGAGUACUGCAGGGGAGACUGGAAUUCCUGGUGUAGCGGUGGAAUGCGCAGAUAUCAGGAGGAACACCGGUGGCGAAGGCGGGUCUCUGGGCAGUAACUGACGCUGAGGAGCGAAAGCGUGGGGAGCGAACAGGAUUAGAUACCCUGGUAGUCCACGCCGUAAACGGUGGGUACUAGGUGUGGGUUUCCUUCCUUGGGAUCCGUGCCGUAGCUAACGC